CAAUUGCUGACAUAACAUUGAAGCGAUCCCUCCUUCCAAUUACACAACUUUUCUCACUGAAACGAGAUGUCGUCAUUCGCAACGCGCUCGAAAUCCGAACGUUUUUCGCAUAAGAGAAAGUGAGAAUUAAAAAAAAAUAAAUAAGAGUCGUUUUGUAACGACCGCUACGCCAUCCAACCCACCCAGCUGGUUGUUAAGCUGCCAUCAACCAGCCAUUGGCUAGAAGUGGGUCAGGCUGGUUGCGCCGACUCAGUCGCUUCUGACAUAGACCCACUGGGUCGGCUCUAUACUUGUAGGUCGUAUUAGUUGGUCGCUCACCAUUCACGCCAUCACCACCAGAAACGGCGUUCGCACUUUCGUUAACGGUAUGAAAUUAAAUCGUUGAAAGUGUGUCUAGUAUCUCCUGCGUCAUGUACCGAUUACAUGUUGAUAAACCCUCUUGAUGAUACAACGCGUUUGUCAACAAUGAUAUCUUCAGCGUCUCUCAUGGAUACUUCUGCAUGUUUUUUGCCAGCUACCCCAUCGAUGUUGUCUGGACCGACUCCUACACCGACGGAGUAUCAUCACGACACUCCGGACACCAAAGAAGGGAUUGAAGAACUUUGUCCCGUUUGUGGCGACACUGUGUCGGGUUAUCAUUAUGGUCUGUUGACGUGUGAAUCUUGUAAAGGUUUCUUCAAACGGACAGUGCAGAACAAGAAAGUGUACACGUGUGUCGCAGAAAGGAAAUGUCAUAUAGAUAAAAGUCAGAGGAAACGUUGUCCGUUUUGCAGAUUUCAGAAAUGUUUAGAAGUUGGCAUGAAGCUCGAAGCUGUACGUGCAGACAGAAUGAGGGGUGGAAGGAACAAAUUCGGACCAAUGUACAAAAGGGACAGAGCUAGGAAAUUGCAGCUUCUGCGCCAAAAGCAAUUAGCGCGUAACCAAUGUCAAGGGGUCCCGGCGACGGAAGGAGGAAUGAACAAUCCUUUGCCUUCGCAUCCUCCUUCAUUCACAGCUUCGACAGGACCGGCGGGUGUUACGGCCCCUCAACAACUUUAUUCUCCAGAAACCGUCUCUAUGAAACAAGAACUUAUUCAAAUCCCUCACCUGAGUUCGUCUACGAAUUCGCCCGAAUCUUCUCCUUCACCUCUCUCUGCCAUCAUCCCUGUCACUACUCUAGGAAGUCACUAUAGUGGGCCACAACCGACCAGAAUUCAUCCACAAGCACCAGUGGUACAAGAACCAUCGAAAUUAACUUGGGUCACGUCACACGCGCCACAAAACACAACACCGUCGCCUGGUCAUGGUGCAUCGCCGCCUGUUACUAAUGCGGCACCCUCUCCCAAAACUUACCACUACGAUGUUCCGUCCGCUGCAAAUGUUCCACCUCCUUCGGUAUCGUUAAUGACAGGAAUCGGAAAAAUUCCGAAUUUAAUUCGGGAAUUCCAAUCCUGCAUGGCCGACGAUAAGGAUUGGCAGAACCAAGUUUAUAGUUUAUUGCAAAGUCAGAGUUAUAAUCAGUGUGAAGUGGAUCUGUUCGAACUGAUGUGCAAAGUGAUUGACCAAUCGCUGUUCUUCCAAGUGGAUUGGGCAAGGAACAGCAUAUUUUUUAAAGACCUAAAGGUUGACGACCAAAUGAAAUUAUUACAACAUGCAUGGAGCGACAUGUUGAUCUUGGACCAUCUUCAUCAGAGACUCCAUAACGGUUUGCCAGAUGAAACUACUUUGCCAAACGGACAGAAAUUUGAUAUGUUAUGCCUAGCGUUAUUAGGAUUACCGGCAAUGGCUGACCAGUUGCAUCGUGUAGCUACUCGUCUUCAAACUUUAAAAUUCGAUCCUCUAGAUUAUAUAUGCCUCAAGUUCAUUGUUCUGCUCAAUCCAGUUACUCUCUGCAUAUUGUUCCGAGCGCAGAAAUCCGGGGGCUGUCAAACAUGAAGCUUGUCCACGAAGCUUACGAACAAACCCAGCAGGCGUUAUUGGAGUACACCAUGAACUGUUAUCCACAAGUGACGGAGAAGUUUAAUCAACUGAUGCAGGUAUUACCGGAGAUCAAAGUGAUCAGCAUGAGAGGUGAGGAAUAUUUGUAUUACAAACACAUAAACAGCAGUAUUCCGGCACAGACACUACUCAUGGAAAUGUUACACGCUAAGA
Molecule: unclassified non-coding RNA, 2130 nt
Filed under: Centruroides sculpturatus (bark scorpion)
Lineage: Eukaryota; Metazoa; Arthropoda; Arachnida; Scorpiones; Buthidae
Description: nuclear hormone receptor FTZ-F1-like, transcript variant X3
Source: RNAcentral